This 49-nucleotide small RNA is filed under the name Sinorhizobium meliloti 2011. RNAcentral describes it as "putative ncRNA". Lineage: Bacteria; Pseudomonadati; Pseudomonadota; Alphaproteobacteria; Hyphomicrobiales; Rhizobiaceae. The record is from RNAcentral.
GUCGACGCCCGCGCCGCCGUUGAUCACGUCGGCGCCUCCAAGUCCCUGA